GUGGGGAAUCUUGCGCAAUGGGCGAAAGCCUGACGCAGCCAUGCCGCGUGGAUGAUGAAGGUCUUAGGAUUGUAAAAUCCUUUCACCGGUGAAGAUAAUGACUGUAGCCGGAGAAGAAGCCCCGGCUAACUUCGUGCCAGCAGCCGCGGUAAUACGAAGGGGGCUAGCGUUGCUCGGAUUUACUGGGCGUAAAGGGCGCGUAGGCGGACAUUUAAGUCAGGGGUGAAAUCCCGGGGCUCAACCUCGGAACUGCCUUUGAUACUGGGUGUCUUGAGUAUGAGAGAGGUGUGUGGAACUCCGAGUGUAGAGGUGAAAUUCGUAGAUAUUCGGAGGAACACCAGUGGCGAAGGCGGCUCACUGGUCCAUUACUGACGCUGAGGUGCGAAAGCGUGGGGAGCAAACAGGAUUAGAUACCCGGGUAGUCC
RNAcentral lists this ribosomal RNA (425 nucleotides) under uncultured bacterium. Its description in RNAcentral is "partial 16S ribosomal RNA". It matches the Rfam family "Bacterial small subunit ribosomal RNA", at positions 354 to 796 of the family's 1533-position model. The record is from RNAcentral.